This 973-nucleotide long non-coding RNA is filed under the name Vulpes vulpes (red fox). RNAcentral's name for it is "lncRNA (ENSVVUG00000010776.1)". The record is from RNAcentral. Lineage: Eukaryota; Metazoa; Chordata; Mammalia; Carnivora; Canidae.
CCAUGGUGAAGGCUCCUGGGCUCUGCCUUUAGGGGACACGGAGGGGAUUCUGGUAGGUUAUUUCAGGAAGAAGAGCCUUGCUGUCUUCUGUUUUGCUUCUUAUUCCUCUGACUGUCAGCCUAGCAGUUAUCUUUCCGAACAGCGGGGAUUCCUUCCUGUAGAAGCGGCUGAAUCUGCUUUGUACAUGUUCACAUACUUGCAAAACCAGAUUCAUCAUGGCCCCUCUCCUCCACCAUGAAAAACAAUAGCAGCAGUAUGAUACCUCUUUUUCAGACUUUGGAUUUCAGGAUCAUGGGGACGCUCUUUUGUAGUCUGAGUCUCAGCUCUGUGGAACCCUUCUAAAUUUUAAUGAUUGAAACCACUUCCCUUCUUCUCCUUUAGCAACUCAUCCUGCAGUUGCUAACUCAAUGACCCCCUAGAGUUCUCUAUUAGCUUAUAGAUUAUCUAGCUAAUGAGUUUCUACUGAGUUAGCAAUUCUUUAUAUUAAAUUUCUCUGUUCAGAUAACUGGUACAGUUUCUGUUGCCUGACUGGAGUCUGACUGGUAUGCCAUAAUUACUCUAUGAGUCAGAUGAUCCUUUUUGCCUCCUACCAAUUUCUCCAGAAAAUGUAGAGCUCCUUCUGAGAAUCUUGAUAAGAUCAGCCCCAAACGAAGGGACACCUUCCAAUAGGCUCUGCACAUGAAAAAUUCAACUGCAGCUGAGUGCGAAGAAGGUAGAAAAUCUGAAUCCUCUCCAGCCACCCUCCACUGAUCCUAGGAAAAACCACCUUUUGCUGGUCGGGAAGCAGGAAAUAAAUUUAUGCCCGUGAUCCUGCACCAAUACAAAGAAGAAAUCUAAGGCUGCUGGGCAAUUUAUGCUGUUCAAUGCCCUCCUGAUGGAAUACAGGUAUUUCUGGAAAUUGGGAGACACUUCUCAUGAAAUCAGAAAGCCAUCCCAGUAUCAUCAGAUGGGAAAAUAUAGAUGGAGCCUAUGA